GUGGUUUGUCGCGUCGUCUGUGAAAUUCCGGGGCUUAACUCCGGGCGUGCAGGCGAUACGGGCAUAACUUGAGUACUGUAGGGGUAACUGGAAUUCCUGGUGUAGCGGUGAAAUGCGCAGAUAUCAGGAGGAACACCGAUGGCGAAGGCAGGUUACUGGGCAGUUACUGACGCUGAGGAGCGAAAGCAUGGGUAGCGAACAGGAUUAGAUACCCUGGUAGUCCAUGCCGUAAACGGUGGGCGCUAGGUGUGAGGGUCUUUUCACGACUUUCGUGCCGUAGCUAACGCAUUAAGCGCCCCGCCUGGGGAGUACGGCCGCAAGGCUAAAACUCAAAGGAAUUGACGGGGGCCCGCACAAGCGGGCGGAGCAUGUGGAUUAAUUCGAUGCAACGCGAAGAACCUUAACCCUGGGCUUGACAUACACCGGAUUGGGCUAGAGAUAGUCUUUCCCUUUGUGGCUGGUGUACAGGUGGUGCAUGGUUGUCGUCAGCUCGUGUCGUGAGAUGUUGGGUUAAGUCCCGCAACGAGCGCAACCCUUGUCUUAUGUUGCCAGCAUUUGGUUGGGGACUCAUGAGAGACUGCCGGGGUCAACUCGGAGGAAGGUGGGGAUGACGUCAAAUCAUCAUGCCCCUUAUGUCCAGGGCUUCACACAUGCUACAAUGGUCGGUACAACGCGCAGCGACACUGUGAGGUGGAGCGAAUCGCUGAAAGCCGGCCUUAGUUCGGAUUGGGGUCUGCAACUCGACCCCAUGAAGUCGGAGUCGCUAGUAAUCGCAGAUCAGCAAUGCUGC
RNAcentral lists this ribosomal RNA (790 nucleotides) under uncultured bacterium. RNAcentral describes it as "bacterial SSU rRNA". It matches the Rfam family "Bacterial small subunit ribosomal RNA", at positions 575 to 1360 of the family's 1533-position model. The record is from RNAcentral.